AUUGAACGCUGGCGGCAUGCCUAACACAUGCAAGUCGAACGGCAGCACAGUAAAGCUUCCGGUCUUUAUGGGUGGCGAGUGGCGGACGGGUGAGUAACGCGUAGGAAUCCGUCCUGGAGCGUGGGAUAACCCGCGGAAACUCGGGCUACUACCUCAUGCUAUUGAGAAGUUAAAAGCAUGGGUCCGAAAGGCCUUGCGCUCUGCGGUGAGCCUACGUCGGAUUGGCUAGUUGGUGGGGUCACGGCCUACCAAGGCGACGAUCCGUAGCUGGUCUGAGAGGAUGACCAGCCACACUGGGACUGAGACACGGCCCAGACUCCUACGGGAGGCAGCAGUGGGGAAUCCUGGACAAUGGGGGAAACCCUGAUCCAGCGAUGCCGCGUGUGUGAAGAAGGCCUUCGGGUUGUAAAGCACUUUAAGUGGGGAAGAAAGGUAUCAAGUGAAUAACUUGGUGCGAUGACGGUACCCGCAGAAUAAGCACCGGCUAACUCUGUGCCAGCCGCCGCCGUAA
This 511-nucleotide ribosomal RNA is filed under the name uncultured bacterium. RNAcentral's name for it is "partial 16S ribosomal RNA". It matches the Rfam family "Bacterial small subunit ribosomal RNA", at positions 30 to 523 of the family's 1533-position model. The record is from RNAcentral.